CCUACGGGAGGCAGCAGUGAGGAAUAUUCGUCAAUGGGCGCGAGCCUGAACCAGCCAAGUAGCGUGAAGGAUGACUGCUCUACGGGUGGUAAACUUCUUUUAUAAAGGAGUAAAGGGAGGCACGUGUGCCUUUUUGUAUGUACCAUAUGAAUAAGGAACGGCUAACUCCGUGCCAGCAGCCGCGGUAAUACGGAGGAUCCGAGCGUUAUCCGGAUUUAUUGGGUUUAAAGGGAGCGUAGGUGGAUUGUUAAGUCAGUUGUGAAAGUUUGCGGCUAAACCGUAAAAUUGCAGUUGAAACUGGCAGUCUUGAGUACAGUAGAGGUGGGCGGAAUUCGUGGUGUAGCGGUGAAAUGCUUAGAUAUCACGAAGAACUCCGAUUGCGAAGGCAGCUCACUGGACUGCAACUGACACUGAGGCUCGAAAGUGUGGGUAUCAAACAGGAUUAGAUACCCCGGUAGUC
RNAcentral lists this ribosomal RNA (460 nucleotides) under uncultured bacterium. RNAcentral describes it as "partial 16S ribosomal RNA". It matches the Rfam family "Bacterial small subunit ribosomal RNA", at positions 338 to 795 of the family's 1533-position model. The record is from RNAcentral.